This 481-nucleotide ribosomal RNA is filed under the name uncultured bacterium. Its description in RNAcentral is "bacterial SSU rRNA". It matches the Rfam family "Bacterial small subunit ribosomal RNA", at positions 56 to 518 of the family's 1533-position model. The record is from RNAcentral.
UGCAAGUCGAGCGAACCUUGAAGAGCUUGCUCUCAAAGGUGAGCGGCGGACGGGUGAGUAACACGUGGGCAACCUGCCUGCAAGAUCGGGAUAACUCCGGGAAACCGGGGCUAAUACCGGAUAAUGCAUUUCGCUGCAUGGCGGAAUGCUAAAAGGCGGCUUCGGCUGUCACUUGCAGAUGGGCCCGCGGCGCAUUAGCUAGUUGGGGAGGUAACGGCUCCCCAAGGCGACGAUGCGUAGCCGACCUGAGAGGGUGAUCGGCCACACUGGGACUGAGACACGGCCCAGACUCCUACGGGAGGCAGCAGUAGGGAAUUUUCCGCAAUGGGCGCAAGCCUGACGGAGCAACGCCCGCGUGAGUGAGGACGGCUUUCGGGUUGUAAAACUCUGUUCUUCGGGAAGAACGGUGGUCGGGUGAAUGGCCCGAUUGCGUGACGGUACCGAAGGAGAAAGCCCCGGCUAACUACGUGCCAGCCGCUGC